UGAGUGCUUAUUAGUUGGACAGCAAAAUAAUCCCAACUUUCCCUGGAAAGCAUGUAACAUUGAAGAUUGAAGAAUGGCUUAGAAAAUAACAAACAAGGUCUGUCAGGUUUCCAAACAAUGAUAAGUAGAAAGGGUCAACUACAUAACAUAUGCUUUCUUGAAUUCCCUUACCUUACUCGUAUAAACCGGGAGAACAGGCAAAACGAUGAGUGCUAAAGAUUUAACCAAACGAUAUACCCGAACUAAAAACCAAAGUUUUACGUUAACAUUAAUAAAACAACCCAAAGAAAGAGCAAUUGCCUUCAUGCAACUACACCACUUAUAUGUGUCUCAUACCAGUUUUAUUUUGGCUAAAAAGAAAGUAUUAGCAAAAAGUGCUGAUGAAAAGAAUAGAAGGAAAACAAGAAGACUGCUAGAAACUAUUUUUAAAUGACAAAUUUUAAUAAAAAACAAGUGCGUAAUUUCUGAAAACAAAAUGUUUCUACAAUUGUUCCAUUUCCACUUCGCCAUUUAAACAAUGUACUCAAUCCACUUGUUUUAACACUAAUUCAUUGAUUUCAUACCAUACAGGACAUGUCAGUAAGACGUGCUUAUAUUUGCUAUUGACUUUCCAUAUGUCUUGAACAUUCAGCGGUAUCGGCAAGAAGAGGAACAUCUCACGUUAAGAGUCUUAAAAUCUU
Molecule: non-coding RNA, 680 nt
Organism: Schizosaccharomyces pombe (fission yeast)
Lineage: Eukaryota; Fungi; Ascomycota; Schizosaccharomycetes; Schizosaccharomycetales; Schizosaccharomycetaceae
Source: the annotation of a GenBank genome assembly